GUGUCAGCAGCCGCGGUAAUACGUAGGUGGCAAGCGUUGUCCGGAAUUACUGGGUGUAAAGGGCGCGUAGGCGGGAGAGCAAGUCAGAUGUGAAAUCCCAGGGCUUAACUCUGGAGCUGCAUCUGAAACUGUUUUUCUUGAGUACUGGAGAGGAAAGUGGAAUUCCUAGUGUAGCGGUGAAAUGCGUAGAGAUUAGGAGGAACACCAGUGGCGAAGGCGGCUUUCUGGACAGUAACUGACGCUGAGGCGCGAAAGCGUGGGGAGCAAACAGGAUUAGAUACCCUGGUAGUCCACGCUGUAAACGAUGGAUACUAGGUGUGGGAGGUAUCGACCCCUUCCGUGCCGGAGUUAACACAAUAAGUAUCCCACCUGGGGAGUACGGCCGCAAGGCUGAAACUCAAAUGAAUUGGCGG
RNAcentral lists this ribosomal RNA (413 nucleotides) under uncultured bacterium. Its description in RNAcentral is "bacterial SSU rRNA". It matches the Rfam family "Bacterial small subunit ribosomal RNA", at positions 505 to 916 of the family's 1533-position model. The record is from RNAcentral.